This 169-nucleotide antisense RNA is filed under the name Shewanella mangrovi. RNAcentral's name for it is "Vibrio RNA AS7". It matches the Rfam family "Vibrio RNA AS7". Rfam says of the family: Identified by direct cloning an parallel sequencing experiments with 5S/tRNA depletion. Confirmed by Northern blot. Lineage: Bacteria; Pseudomonadati; Pseudomonadota; Gammaproteobacteria; Alteromonadales; Shewanellaceae. The record is from Rfam by way of RNAcentral.
GGCGUUUGCAACAACAGGGCAUUACGCGACUCGAUUUCGCCACCAAUGUGAUACGGCAAGCCACAGUUUGCAAAUGACACAAAUUCGCCACGCUCUAACAUAAUAAUCUCAGCGUGUUCAUCCAUACGACGGGCACGGGCGGCGGCUGAAGCACCACCGGCGACGCCUC